GAUCCUGGCUCAGGACGAACGCUGGCGGCGUGCUUCAUACAUGCAAGUCGAACGCGAAUCGGUAGCUUGCUACCGAGGAAAGUGGCGGACGGGUGAGUAAUAUGUAGAGAAUCUGCCCUAGAGAGGGGGGACAACAGCUGGAAACGGUUGCUAAUACCCCAUAUGAGCGUACCUGAAAUGGUAUUCUUGAAAACUCCGGUGCUCUAGGAUGAGUCUGCAUCUGAUUAGCUAGG
RNAcentral lists this ribosomal RNA (233 nucleotides) under uncultured bacterium. RNAcentral's name for it is "partial 16S ribosomal RNA". It matches the Rfam family "Bacterial small subunit ribosomal RNA", at positions 15 to 249 of the family's 1533-position model. The record is from RNAcentral.